This is a long non-coding RNA of Xiphophorus couchianus (Monterrey platyfish), 4672 nucleotides long. RefSeq lists it as uncharacterized. NCBI's taxonomy places the organism in Eukaryota, Metazoa, Chordata, Actinopteri, Cyprinodontiformes, Poeciliidae. The transcript is spliced from 2 exons. The record is from RefSeq and is a predicted model, not a curated record.
UAAAAUUCUGCAUGUAGCUAAAUAUAAGGGAUCAGAGCCAAUUAUUAAUCCAAGUAAGAGCGAAUGAACAGCAAGCACUAAAAACUAAAACAUCAAAUGUCUUUAUUGUCAAAUCAGUCUCUGACAUAAAAGAAAACCCAACACAACCAGUGACGUUCAACAUCUACCAGGGUUAGAUUGGCUACAAAUCAUUUUAAUCAUUGAAACAUAUGACAAUUAAAUACGAUUUCAUUGAUUCUCCUGUUGCUAAACAUGAGUUUGAUGAAAGCUUUGUGACAAUAUUGCGUUUACUAAUCUCUGGAAGUGUGAUCCAGCUGAGUGACGAGGCUCUUACAGUUUCCCCAGCAGAAGUCACCAGUGAGCGACGAAUGAAGCAGCGAGUAACGAACCUGUUUGCAAAGCAGAGGGUUGAAAAGCUUCAUUGCUUCACCAGGCUUCAUUUGCCCGUCACUACUAAACAGAACAAACAUGUAAUAACCUCUUUUAAAACCAAAUACAGAAUGAAACGCAAAUAAAUCCCCCCCAUGAAGCGGCGGCUCGUAUGCUGCAUGUAGGAAACUGGUACCUUAUCCAUCCAGAUUCACUUUUGCAAGUGCAUCUGCACAGAUGUGAUUGGAGAAAGCUUCAUUUAUCUGAAAUGUGGCAAAGACUAUGGCCAGCCUUUGCCACUGGGGGGCCAUAAAGCAAAGGCCAACUCGUUCCUGAAAAGAAUAGGAAGCAACUUAACAGCACACAAACCAACUUAGCUUAAGAUGAGUUAUCCAUUUUGAGAAAAUAGAGCUGAGAAACGUAAAGCAGCCACGAAUGAACGAGAAAGGAAACCAGGUUGUAUUUUUAGCAGCUUUCAAACGCACAGCGUUAUCUGCACACCCAGUUUUGAAGCACUGGCCUCUCAUACUUCCUCCUGUUUAAACUUCCUGCUGGUUACCCAGCUGGUAAAGCUUGUAUAGCUCACAAAAGUCAACUAAACAUGGACAAACAAAAGUUGGCAACACUAUUCAACAUUGCAGUUGAAAUAACCAUCUGAAAAGUGUGGUGUGCUAGUUGAAUGUCAGUUUUCUUACAGUCCAAAAGUGCAAGGAAAACGUCUGGACAGUGACACUUUGACACUUACUGACGGCCCAGAUGAACCAUCUAAAAACGUAAACUCUGAGUCUCUAAGCGAAUCCGGAACAGUCCAAAAGUAACUUUACCUUCAUAUGCAGCUGCACACGUCUCAGGAGAAACAGCUGGAGCGUAAAAAGAAGGAGAAAAAUAAAAUAAAAUAAAAAAUAAAAAAAGAAGCAAACAUAGUUAAAGUACAACAACAAAAGAAUAAAGAUUUAAAAGAACAUCAUUUCUCUUUUGGCAACGUUGUCCUUCGUAGUUCACGUCAACCUUCGACAACGGGGCGACCUCUCUGCACCCUGACCCGCUGAGAAAUGACCCGCAGAACCAAGAAACUGUACCGGAUCGAUUCAAUACGUCUGAUCCGUUUUUAAAAUUUUAUCACCACAUUAUUUCACUUCCAGCAGGAUUGAUUUUUUUUUUAUUAUUAUUAUUUAUAUGAAAUAGGUGGGUUCUUUAAUCUGUAGAGACGGGUGACAGUCUUCAAGCCUUAAAGUGACGAUGAGGCUGUUGAAGGAAAUUUAGAAAAAAAAACUAAUUAUGCAGCUAGAUUCAGUUUUUAGACCCCAAAAAAAAGAAUUUGAUCAAAUGAAAUAUUCCACCAGCCAAAGCUCGUUCAUUCUCAAUUCCGUUUUAAUUAAUUUCACAGUGUGAUUAUUAAUGUUGUUCAUUCUUGUACGGUUUAAAAUACCGUUUUAAGUGCAUUCAUCAAAAAAAAAGGCAGGCAUAUAACAUGAAAAUAUAUGUGCUUUUAUAAUCAUAAUAACACUUCCAUUGUAAAGAAUUUGAGGCUAAUAAAAAUGAACAAGCUUAUUUAAUUAGACUGAUAAUUCUAAUUAGGACCUGUAUAAAUAAAUAAUUAAGGCUACAAUUAAUGAUUAACAACUUUAUGAGGCCUACCACUUUACCACAUACUAUUAUUACACAUGGACAGUGUGUAAACAUUAACUGCAUGCUAACCGUUAUUCUUUCAUAACAAAUCUUUUUCUUUUGACUUCAGAAGUAAAAGCAAAGCCCCAAAUCAAGGGAAAAGUCAUAAAACACACCAAUGCAAAUGGAUGAAUCAACCUUUACCCUCCGUUCCAUUAAGUUUAAUUUAACGACACUGUCCAGAUAUCAAACUAAUCUCUUUGAUGCAAAAGCUUUAGGUUUCUGUACUGACAGGUUGUACCUAGUACAUUUACAAACAACAAUCUCAUAGAUAGGAAUUACAUUACAUGACCAGAAAGCUAAGUGAAAGAACACAAGCUAUGAAUUUGGAUAAUCUGUGAGAAAAAAUAGAAAUAAUAAUCAGCAAAACACUUCCCCCCCCCCCACCUAGUAUAAAAGUGAAAACAAUGGUAUAAUUUCUGUAGCUGGUUUUAGUGAAACUGCUGUACAGUGGGAAGUGGGAAGGAGCCUUUGAGUCGGAUAAAAUAUGUUUGAAAGAAACUUUCAGAGGUGAGUAAAGUACGUAUGCUGUACAUUUUUACAAAGAGCUCUGGAAAACAUUAGGAGACAACUUAAAAUGAUCAGUUUCUCUGAUCUUACUUUUUAUAGAUAGAUGUUUGAGUAGAAUGAACAUUGUUUUAUUAUUCUAUGAACUACUGACAAUAUGUUUCCGAAACUACAAGCAAAAAUUUAGUAUUUAUUUGCAGGAAAUGAGAAAAGGUCAAAAGAACGUAAAAGACGCAGACUCAGACCUCAAAAAUCGCAAAGAAAACAAGUUCAUAUUCAUUUAGAAACAACAUCAAUGAGUUCAGAAAUCAAUAUUUGGUGGAAUAACCGAGAGGUUUCCAAUGGGCUUCAGUGCAGUGGUCUAUUUUUAUUUUUUCCAGAGCUGUAUGUGUGUGACGCAUGACAGGUUUCAUGCAUGUAUGGAACUCAGAAUGAGGGCAACCCGAGGUGAAACCAUUGCUGGGACCUGCAGCACAGUAACAGAUCAUUUCCUUUCGUACACAAUCCAGUUUCACUUCUUGCUCUCACUGUAGCGUUUCUCCAUUCUGUCAAGCCUUAGCUAAAGCUGGCGGUGAUGUGGCUUCCUGUUUCCUGUUUGUUAUGUUUUGGUAAGCAAGUGAACCUGCAGCACUGUAUAACAGAUAACGUUGGUAUAAAUCAUAUGAGGCAUUAAGCAGUGCUGAGAUCAUGCAGAACGACCUCCGUCAGAUAUGAAAGAGGUACUGAAAGCGAUGGACGCUGUCUGAUGUUUAAACUAAUGAAAUUUGAUUCAUUGUCAAUUUUUUUUUUAUGGAGAAAAGUUCUAUUUUUAAAGCCACUUUAUCGGGCAUACGUGUUCAAUCGCUUGCUAACAUAAAGCCGAAGUCCACCCAAUUACCUCAAUUCAAUUCAAAAAUAUUUUAUUUAACCCAAACGGAAAAUAAAAUGUCGUCAUAGAUGGUGACGCUGUGGUAGCAGUCAGUCUUGCAACGAGUCUGGAGAAGCCUCUGACUGAAGACCGUUGCUGUAUGACAGUCUCAUGAUUGCUAUGACGUGCUAACAAUUUGAUAUCAGCAGAAGACAUUAUAUUUCUUCCAGACAACACCAACAGCAGUUGGCAAGUACUGCUAAUCCACCUCAUUUGCUUUUGCAGCUCAUCUUUAAGUCUGAGUCUGGUCAGAAAGCCGAGCAGAGAGACGCAAAGAGGAAAGAGGGGGACUUUUCUGGUUCUGCUUUGCUUCUCUUUCAACUGCUCCGGAGUUUGAGAUUGUGGUUCAGAUACUAUUUGACCUUUUUGAAAAGACAAAUGCGUAACUCGAUGCGUCCAGCUGUCUAGACUUGAUAAGGACGACUCAAUUAAGUUCUAACGGAGCUCCAGAACGGAGAAUAAAAGGGGGUUUAAUUGACUUUCUACAUGCUAUCUGGAGCUAAACCUCUGUGGCGCUGAUUCAACCGAAGCGUUUGAUUCAGUCAGUGAAAAAGAGAAAGAGCGGUUUUCAAGGCAACAAAGGUGGUGCUGGCAAGGUCUCCCUACUAAAGUAUCUGGUGAGUGAACAAAGGUUGCAGCUAGGUGUUUCUAUUUUAAUCACUGGUUUUCAGAUGUUAACUGAUGCAAAAAAGGGGAACUAAAGACCUGAAAGGUUCUGUUUUCUAUUGUCGGUCUAGAUGGCUGGUCUUAUCCUACACAUGCCUCGUCUUGCCACUAAGCUGCCCAUCCAUCCAUCAAUUUCUGGUUGGUGUGUGAGUGAAAAUGUCAACACAGGCGAUGGCAAUGAGUUACAUUUUAUUGAACGGGGACAACAUGUGUUACAGGAGCAGUGCUUCAAGGGUCCAAAUACGGGCCAUGUAGCACUUUGCUUUACAAUGUUAUUGUACAGUUGUUCCUGUUGUGAGGUUUGUCAUAAAUAUCCAAAGUAAACAUUUCUGGCGUUUCUUUACCCGACUACUCCCAUCGUUAAACACGACCUUAAAGAAAAUCUCCCACGCUAGCAGCAAGUUAGCGCAACUUAGCAUAAAGUCUGCAAAUGGCGGAAAUCGUGGCAUUUAUGUCCAGAUUCAAGAUAGGAAAAAAACAUUCUGUGUCUUACUUAAUGUCCAAAAAUAUUUACCAAAAAGAAAAGAAAAAAAAGAAAGAAAAGUUCAACAUAUU